RNAcentral lists this ribosomal RNA (404 nucleotides) under Petaloptila aliena. Its description in RNAcentral is "partial 12S ribosomal RNA". The record is from RNAcentral. Lineage: Eukaryota; Metazoa; Arthropoda; Insecta; Orthoptera; Gryllidae.
UAUUAUAGCCUAUGUAAAUAUGAAUUAAGCUUGAGUAGUAAUUGUUAAGAUCUUGAAACUCAAAGAAUUUGGCGGUUUUUUAGUCCUUUUAGAGGAAUCUGUUCAGUAAUUGAUAGUACACGAUUUUCUUUACUUUCUCUKGUAAUUCAGUUUGUAUACCGCCGUCAUAAGAUUAUUUUAAUGAGGGAUAUAAAAUUUCUUUAUUUAUAAUUGUAGGAUAUGUCAGGUCAAGGUGCAGUUGAUGGGAAAGAUGUAAUGGAUUACAAUAAUAUUAAUUAUAUGGAUUGGAUUGAGAAAGUGGUUUCAUGAAGGUGGAUUUAAUUGUAAGAUUUGUUAAGGAAUAACAGUUUGAUUUGGGCUCUAAAAUGUGWACAUAUCCCCCGCACCUCCCGUUGUAAUAUGAG